GAGCCAAAUUCACCUGAGUGCAUCCUUGCCUAACACACACUACACAUAUAUAGCUAAUAUACGGGCGCCCAUACAACAAGCCAAACAAUGGCGGUCCUAUUUGGAUGCUCAGGGAGCCCUACACUAAUGAUUUGAGCUAUUGGAUAUAAUCUACUAUCUCCAAAUUGCUUACUAUUAUCAAAAAUUAUAACAUACUAUGCAUAUAGUAUUUAAAAAAUAUGCAUUGUAUGUUUUAUUUAAACUAUCCAUUUUUGACUUUUUCUUUUGAGCCGAGCUCUCUUAAGCAGACUUGAAAACUACUACAGUGGUACACCCCUCAGAGAUAUAGGGACCACCAUGCUUGUCCACUUUCUUGAUAAAGGACUCGAUGCAUUUUCUCUUCCUUGCCAUGGAGACUGAGACAUAUCAAAAAGAUCUAUGACUAAAAAGAGAUUGGGAUCAUCCUGUGGUUACUGGAUACAUAAACGAUGAAUAAGCUAUAGAUCUCAAAAUCAUAUAAUCUUUUUAGUAGUAAGAAAUUUAGAGAUGGUAGAUCACAUCUAAUAGCUCGGACAAGAUCUGCUGAAUUGAUACCGGGGUCGGUAUCUGCCAGCGACUGGUUCAGUAUGAUAUGGAUCUAUACCAUGCCGUUUCGAGAUGUACUGGCACAGGAAGAGGGAGGAGGGGAGGAAUAAGGAGAGAGAGGAAGAGAGAAGGGAAGGGAGGGAGGGAGAAAGAGAGAAAGAUGAGGGAUACCGGUGAAGACAGGUAGGCCACGAGGAAGGAGGUGAAGAUGAUGAGCCUUCUGGCGACGGCGAUCUAGGGUUUCGCUCCAAUUCUACUUUACUUCAAGGUUUACGAGAGGAAUAGAUAGUGGGG
This 858-nucleotide long non-coding RNA is filed under the name Phoenix dactylifera (date palm). RNAcentral describes it as "long non-coding RNA (PDAC_LNC006425)". The record is from RNAcentral. Lineage: Eukaryota; Viridiplantae; Streptophyta; Magnoliopsida; Arecales; Arecaceae.